RNAcentral lists this ribosomal RNA (499 nucleotides) under uncultured bacterium. RNAcentral's name for it is "partial 16S ribosomal RNA". It matches the Rfam family "Bacterial small subunit ribosomal RNA", at positions 899 to 1397 of the family's 1533-position model. The record is from RNAcentral.
ACUCAAAGGAAUAGACGGGGGCCCGCACAAGCGGUGGAGCAUGUGGUUUAAUUCGAUGCUACGCGAAGAACCUUACCCAGACUUGACAUCCCGCGCAUAGCCGUGAAAGCGGUGAAUUCCCUUCGGGGACGCGGUGACAGGUGCUGCAUGGCUGUCGUCAGCUCGUGUUGUGAGAUGUUGGGUUAAGUCCCGCAACGAGCGCAACCCUCGUCGCUAGUUACCAUCAUUAAGUUGGGCACUCUAGCGAGACCGCUGAGCUAUAAGCCAGAGGAAGGUGGGGAUGACGUCAAGUCCUCAUGGCCCUUAUGUCUGGGGCUACACACGUGCUACAAUGGAAAGGACAAUGCGUUGCAAGCCGGCGACGGCAAGCUAAUCGCAAAAAACUUUUUUCAGUUCGGAUUGGAGUCUGCAACUCGACUCCAUGAAGCUGGAAUCGCUAGUAAUCGUGGAUCAGAACGCCACGGUGAAUACGUUCCCGGGCCUUGCACACACCGCCCGU